This 95-nucleotide microRNA precursor is filed under the name Canis lupus familiaris (dog). RNAcentral's name for it is "mir-8799 microRNA precursor family". It matches the Rfam family "mir-8799 microRNA precursor family". Lineage: Eukaryota; Metazoa; Chordata; Mammalia; Carnivora; Canidae. The record is from Rfam by way of RNAcentral. RNAcentral also lists the same sequence under 1 other name.
GGGGGGAGCGCCCAAUUUUGGGCUGUGUCCCCCAGCGCCCUGGGCUCUGGGGUCUGCACUGUUGGAAUCGCUUUCCCGGCACUGCGCAGCCCCUU